Molecule: non-coding RNA, 1111 nt
Organism: Saimiri boliviensis boliviensis (Bolivian squirrel monkey)
Lineage: Eukaryota; Metazoa; Chordata; Mammalia; Primates; Cebidae
Source: RefSeq, a predicted model, not a curated record
GCUGUGGUGAGGCAGUCCCGCUUCCUGCUGUGGUGAGGUGCUGUCAGAGCUCUUGUUUUGAGCUGGAGGAAUCCUGGCUCUGCCAGAUAGCAGCUGGGUGACCUGGCAAGUCACGUCCUGCUUCGGUUUUCUCGUCUGCAAAGACAGUGCCCAGCUUCAGGUUUGUGAAGACUGAGUGAAGCCAGCACACAAAAACCACUUACCAUGGAUUGCCACAACCAAGCUCUUGGAACUGAUGCCAUUAAGAAAAGCAAAGAAAGAACCCAACUUUCCCUGCUAAUUUUGCAGUGAAAAUGCAAUUAAACAAACGGAAGGAAGAUAUCUUGGAAAAUUCACAUGGAACUUGCAUUUACCUCCUUACUCUCCAUCCUCUAGUGACUGAAUUGUAAAUGCCAAAAGAAGAAAUCUGUCAGAAAUCAAAUGUUCAAUCAUAAUGUGUAUAAUAAGACAAAAUUUCUACCUGCAAACAAGUUGACCCCUUAAUACGUAAAAAGGAAAUUGAUGGACUCGUUAUUUUAGGAGGAGAAGCACACACCACACCUUGCACUGGAUGAAAGGGCGCAAAAGCACAAAGAUGGGUAUUCGGGUCCGCACGAUGAAGUCGAGGAAGUCCCAAAGGGCCAGGCCUCCCACCUUCCGCAGAGCCAUCUCCUUCACCUGGAGGCUCAGCCAGUACCACUGGCUUCCGAGCUGCCUCUCAAAGCAGACGAGAAUCACCUUCAGUGCUUCACACCAGGAAAAGAGAAAAGUGAACCUGCAGAUCUGUGCUUCAGAGGAACCCAACCUACAUUCACAGCCCUUUUUGCACCUUUAUAAAUUUUCUAAACCUCUAAACUCUCCAUGUUUCUAAAAACUUCAUAUGCAUUCCUGAGAAAGAGCAUGCUGGACAUCGAGUCAAAAAUGUGUAUGGUGUUUUGAUUCUGAUGAAGAGAACCCAGAUAUUUUUCUUAAGUGCUUUGAACUACUAAUUUGGAAAAUAUAGAACAAUGUGGUCCACUGAAUUGAAAGGAAACUGUUUUAUCAACAUGAUGUGUGGCUAAGGUUUUACCUUCCACAAGUUUAAUCAUAAUGACUUUAUGGUAAUAAUGGGCAUAUCACUCACAUUCUUAGC